UAACGAAUAUUCCGCAAUGGGCGAAAGCCUGACGGAGCGACGCCGCGUGGAGGACGAAUUCCUUCGGGAUGUAAACUCCUUUUGGGGUGACGAAAACAAGGGGCGCUAAUACCGUCUCGAGUUGAUUGAUCCCAGAAUAAGCCUGGGCUAAUUCCGUGCCAGCAGCCGCGGUAAGACGGAACAGGCAAGCGUUGUUCGGAAUCACUGGGCUUAAAGCGCGUGUAGGCGGCUUGGUAAGUACCUUGUGAAAGCCCCCGUCUCAACCGGGGAACCGCUGGGUAUACUGCCAGGCUUGAGGCUGGUAGGGGUGCCUGGAACUCUAGGUGGAGCGGUGAAAUGCGUAGAUAUCUAGAGGAACGCCUGUGGCGAAAGCGGGGCACUGGGCCAGACCUGACGCUGAGGCGCGAAAGCGUGGGUAGCAAACG
Molecule: ribosomal RNA, 425 nt
Filed under: uncultured prokaryote
Description: bacterial SSU rRNA
Rfam family: Bacterial small subunit ribosomal RNA
Source: RNAcentral